Molecule: long non-coding RNA, 255 nt
Filed under: Capsicum annuum
Lineage: Eukaryota; Viridiplantae; Streptophyta; Magnoliopsida; Solanales; Solanaceae
Description: long non-coding RNA (CANN_LNC007360)
Source: RNAcentral
CCUGCUUACAAAUUGCUGAUUGAUGCUGACAAACUUGGCAAUGUGAAAUUUGAAGGGUGGAAGGAAACAACAACAAACACAUUGGAGGUUUUUCUGACUCACUUCCAAAUGGUAACUCCAUGUUCCCUGAAUUUCUGUUUCUUGCAUCACAUUUAGGGUUAAUGAAAUGUAUAUUAUGCAAUAGAUACUUCAUCAAAAAGUUCAUAUAAAGAUAUCUUUGAUAUCUCCUUUGCCUUUAGGAACUAGUUAGUCGUG